Molecule: ribosomal RNA, 480 nt
Filed under: Kribbella sp.
Lineage: Bacteria; Bacillati; Actinomycetota; Actinomycetes; Propionibacteriales; Kribbellaceae
Description: bacterial SSU rRNA
Rfam family: Bacterial small subunit ribosomal RNA
Source: RNAcentral
ACGAAAGUCUGACGCAGCAACGCCCCGUGAGGGAUGACGGCCUUCGGGUUGUAAACCUCUUUCAGCAGGGACGAAGCGAAAGUGACGGUACCUGCAUAAGAAAGACCGGCCAACUACGUGCCAUCAGCCGCGGUAAUACGUAGGGUCCGAGCGUUGUCCGGAAUUAUUGGGCGUAAAGGGCUCGUAGGCGGUUCGUCACGUCGGGAGUGAAAACUCGGAGCUUAACUCUAAGCCUGCUUCCGAUACGGGCAGACUAGAGGUAGGCAGGGGAGAGCGGAACUCCUGGUGUAGCGGUGGAAUGCGCAGAUAUCACGAAGAACACCGGUGGCGAAAGCGGCUCUCUGGGCCUUACCUGACGCUGAGGAGCGAAAGCGUGGGUAGCGAACAGGAUUAGAUACCCUGGUAGUCCACGCCGUAAACGUUGGGCGCUAGGUGUGGGGGACAUUCCACGUCCUCCGUGCCGCAGCUAACGCAUUAAGC